CCUACGGGCGGCUGCAGUGAGGAAUAUUGGUCAAUGGACGAGAGUCUGAACCAGCCAAGUAGCGUGAAGGAUGACUGCCCUAUGGGUUGUAAACUUCUUUUAUAUGGGGAUAAAACGUUCCACGUGUGGGAUUUUGUAUGUACCAUAUGAAUAAGGAUCGGCUAACUCCGUGCCAGCAGCCGCGGUAAUACGGAGGAUCCGAGCGUUAUCCGGAUUUAUUGGGUUUAAAGGGAGCGUAGGUGGAUUGUUAAGUCAGUUGUGAAAGUUUGCGGCUCAACCGUAAAAUUGCAGUUGAAACUGGCAGUCUUGAGUACAGUAGAGGUGGGCGGAAUUCGUGGUGUAGCGGUGAAAUGCUUAGAUAUCACGAAGAACUCCGAUUGCGAAGGCAGUUCACUGGACUGCAACUGACACUGAGGCUCGAAAGUGUGGGUAUCAAACAGGAUUAGAUACCCCAGUAGUC
This 460-nucleotide ribosomal RNA is filed under the name uncultured bacterium. RNAcentral's name for it is "partial 16S ribosomal RNA". It matches the Rfam family "Bacterial small subunit ribosomal RNA", at positions 338 to 795 of the family's 1533-position model. The record is from RNAcentral.